GACGAACGCUGGCGGCGUGCCUAAUACAUGCAAGUAGAACGCACAGUUUAUACCGUAGCUUGCUACACCAUAGACUGUGAGUUGCGAACGGGUGAGUAACGCGUAGGUAACCUGCCUGGUAGCGGGGGAUAACUAUUGGAAACGAUAGCUAAUACCGCAUAAUAUUAAUUAUUGCAUGAUAAUUAAUUGAAAGGUGCAAUUGCACCACUACCAGAUGGACCUGCGUUGUAUUAGCUAGUAGGUGAGGUAACGGCUCACCUAGGCGACGAUACAUAGCCGACCUGAGAGGGUGAUCGGCCACACUGGGACUGAGAUACGGCCCAGACUCCUACGGGAGGCAGCAGUAGGGAAUCUUCGGCAAUGGACGAAAGUCUGACCGAGCAACGCCGCGUGAGUGAAGAAGGUUUUCGGAUCGUAAAGCUCUGUUGUAAGAGAAGAACGGGUGUGAGAGUGGAAAGUUCACACUGUGACGGUAUCUGACCAGAAAGGGACGGCUAACUACGUG
This 505-nucleotide ribosomal RNA is filed under the name uncultured bacterium. RNAcentral's name for it is "partial 16S ribosomal RNA". It matches the Rfam family "Bacterial small subunit ribosomal RNA", at positions 28 to 507 of the family's 1533-position model. The record is from RNAcentral.